Molecule: ribosomal RNA, 572 nt
Filed under: Saccharomyces cerevisiae (brewer's yeast)
Lineage: Eukaryota; Fungi; Ascomycota; Saccharomycetes; Saccharomycetales; Saccharomycetaceae
Description: partial large subunit ribosomal RNA
Rfam family: Eukaryotic large subunit ribosomal RNA
Source: RNAcentral
AAACCAACCGGGAUUGCCUUAGUAACGGCGAGUGAAGCGGCAAAAGCUCAAAUUUGAAAUCUGGUACCUUCGGUGCCCGAGUUGUAAUUUGGAGAGGGCAACUUUGGGGCCGUUCCUUGUCUAUGUUCCUUGGAACAGGACGUCAUAGAGGGUGAGAAUCCCGUGUGGCGAGGAGUGCGGUUCUUUGUAAAGUGCCUUCGAAGAGUCGAGUUGUUUGGGAAUGCAGCUCUAAGUGGGUGGUAAAUUCCAUCUAAAGCUAAAUAUUGGCGAGAGACCGAUAGCGAACAAGUACAGUGAUGGAAAGAUGAAAAGAACUUUGAAAAGAGAGUGAAAAAGUACGUGAAAUUGUUGAAAGGGAAGGGCAUUUGAUCAGACAUGGUGUUUUGUGCCCUCUGCUCCUUGUGGGUAGGGGAAUCUCGCAUUUCACUGGGCCAGCAUCAGUUUUGGUGGCAGGAUAAAUCCAUAGGAAUGUAGCUUGCCUCGGUAAGUAUUAUGGCCUGUGGGAAUACUGCCAGCUGGGACUGAGGACUGCGACGUAAGUCAAGGAUGCUGGCAUAAUGGUUAUAUGCCGC